AGUGAGUGGCGAACGGGUGAGUAACACGUGGACAACCUGCCUCAAGGCUGGGGAUAACAUUUGGAAACAGAUGCUAAUACCGAAUGAAACUUAGUGUCGCAUGAUACGAAGUUAAAAGGCGCUUUGGCGUCACCUAGAGAUGGAUCCGCGGUGCAUUAGUUAGUUGGUGGGGUAAAGGCCUACCAAGACAAUGAUGCAUAGCCGAGUUGAGAGACUGAUCGGCCACAUUGGGACUGAGACACGGCCCAAACUCCUACGGGAGGCUGCAGUAGGGAAUCUUCCACAAUGGGCGAAAGCCUGAUGGAGCAACGCCGCGUGUGUGAUGAAGGCUUUCGGGUCGUAAAGCACUGUUGUAUGGGAAGAACAGCUAGAAUAGGGAAUGAUUUUAGUUUGACGGUACCAUACCAGAAAGGGACGGCUAAAUACGUGCCAGCAGCCGCGGUAAUACGUAUGUCCCGAGCGUUAUCCGGAUUUAUUGGGCGUAAAGCGAGCGCAGACGGUUGAUUAAGUCUGAUGUGAAAGCCCGGAGCUCAACUCCGGAAUGGCAUUGGAAACUGGUUAACUUGAGUGCAGUAGAGGUAAGUGGAACUCCAUG
RNAcentral lists this ribosomal RNA (595 nucleotides) under Leuconostoc pseudomesenteroides. RNAcentral's name for it is "bacterial SSU rRNA". It matches the Rfam family "Bacterial small subunit ribosomal RNA", at positions 90 to 673 of the family's 1533-position model. Lineage: Bacteria; Bacillati; Bacillota; Bacilli; Lactobacillales; Lactobacillaceae. The record is from RNAcentral.